RNAcentral lists this unclassified non-coding RNA (212 nucleotides) under plant metagenome. RNAcentral describes it as "partial contains small subunit ribosomal RNA, internal transcribed spacer 1, and 5.8S ribosomal RNA". The record is from RNAcentral.
UCUCCGUUGGUGAACCAGCGGAGGGAUCAUUACAGGAUCGAAAGACUCCUAUAACCCCUGUGAACUUACUACAAAUACGUUGCUUCGGCGGGUGCCCCGGGUCUCCCGGGGCGUUCAGACCGCCGGCAGCCUUCAAAUUCUGUUUCUUUGCGUUGGCAUCUCGAGUAUACAAAAAUAAGUUAAAACUUUCAACAACGGAUCUCUUGGUUCUG